This 198-nucleotide ribosomal RNA is filed under the name Rotylenchulus reniformis. RNAcentral describes it as "partial 18S ribosomal RNA". It matches the Rfam family "Eukaryotic small subunit ribosomal RNA", at positions 1641 to 1831 of the family's 1831-position model. The record is from RNAcentral. Lineage: Eukaryota; Metazoa; Nematoda; Chromadorea; Rhabditida; Hoplolaimidae.
UUGAUUACGUCCCUGCCCUUUGUACACACCGCCCGUCGCUGCCCGGGACUGAGCCAUUUCAAGAAAACCGGGGAUUGAUGGCCUAACGGCUCCAUACGGGGCCCGCUGGCCGUUGAAAACCGGCUUAAUUGCAAUGGUUUGAACCGGGCAAAAGUCGUAACAAGGUAGCUGUAGGUGAACCUGCUGCUGGAUCAUUAC